CCUACGGGGGGCAGCAGUGAGGAAUAUUGGUCAAUGGACGAGAGUCUGAACCAGCCAAGUAGCGUGAAGGAUGACUGCCCUAUGGGUUGUAAACUUCUUUUAUAUGGGAAUAAAAUGUUCCACGUGUGUGAUUUUGUAUGUACCAUAUGAAUAAGGAUCGGCUAACUCCGUGCCAGCAGCCGCGGUAAUACGGAGGAUCCGAGCGUUAUCCGGAUUUCUUGGGUUUAAAGGGCGCGUAGGUGGAUUGACAAGUCAGUUGUGAAAGUUUGCGGAUCAACCGUAAAAUUGCAAUUGAUACUGGCAGUCUUGAGUACAGGUGAGGUAGGCGGAAUGCGUGGUGUAGCGGUGAAAUGCUUAGAUAUCACGAAGAACUCCGAUUGCGAAGGCAGCUUACUAAACUGCCACUGACAUUGAUGCUCGAAAGUGUGGGGAUCAAACAGGAUUAGAUACCCGAGUAGUC
RNAcentral lists this ribosomal RNA (460 nucleotides) under uncultured bacterium. Its description in RNAcentral is "partial 16S ribosomal RNA". It matches the Rfam family "Bacterial small subunit ribosomal RNA", at positions 338 to 795 of the family's 1533-position model. The record is from RNAcentral.